AAUGAGACCAUGAUUUACUCUAUAUAGAUUGGCAGUGAUAGAUAGAUUGAAAGUGGUAGAUAGAUUGACAGCAGUAGAUAGAUUGACGGCGAUAGAUUAGCAGCAAUAGAUUAGCAGUAAUAGAUUAGCAGCAAUAGAUUAGCAGUGAUAGAUUAGCAGUGAUAGAGUAGCAGUGAUAGAUAGAUUGACAGCAGUAGAUAGAUUGACAGCAGUAGAUAGAUUGAUGAUGAUGAGUAGAUUGACAGUGAUGAGU
RNAcentral lists this small RNA (253 nucleotides) under Histoplasma capsulatum. Its description in RNAcentral is "hypothetical RNA". Lineage: Eukaryota; Fungi; Ascomycota; Eurotiomycetes; Onygenales; Ajellomycetaceae. The record is from RNAcentral. RNAcentral also lists the same sequence under 1 other name.